Molecule: ribosomal RNA, 419 nt
Filed under: bacterium
Lineage: Bacteria
Description: partial 16S ribosomal RNA
Rfam family: Bacterial small subunit ribosomal RNA
Source: RNAcentral
UGGGGGAUAUUGCACAAUGGGCGAAAGCCUGAUGCAGCGACGCCGCGUGGGGGAUGAAGGCCUUCGGGUUGUAAACUUCUUUUGCUCUGAACAAGGCGCACCAUGGGGUGUGUUGAGUGUAGGGGUUGAUUAGCGCCGGCUAACUACGUGCCAGCAGCCGCGGUAAUACGUAGGGCGCGAGCGUUGUCCGGAAUUAUUGGGCGUAAAGGGCUUGUAGGUGGCUGGUUGCGUCUGUCGUGAAAGCUCAUGGCUUAACUGUGAGUUUGCGGUGGGUACGGGCUGGCUUGAGUGCAGUAGGAGAGGCUGGAAUUCCUGGUGUAGCGGUGGAAUGCGCAGAUAUCAGGAGGAAUACCGGUGGCGAAGGCGGGUCUCUGGGCUGUUACUGACAGUGAGGAGCGAAAGCAUGGGGAGCGAACAGG